Molecule: non-coding RNA, 23 nt
Filed under: Rattus norvegicus (Norway rat)
Lineage: Eukaryota; Metazoa; Chordata; Mammalia; Rodentia; Muridae
Source: RNAcentral
GGUGAGUACGGAACAAGCCCUGU